UAGGGUUCAUCCAUCCAAACAGCAGGCAGUGCCUAUCGACGUGUAGCAGUUACUCGUUUGCCGUGGAAGGAGAGCUAGUCGGUAGAAUUUGCCACGACGUCGAGCCACCGGCGAGGCUGUCACAGGUGGGCGUCGCUGUCACUGCCGGAAUAUGCGGUGGCAUUGCUCUCGGUAUCAUCAUCGGACUUGCCAUCUUCUUCUACCUCAGGAAUCUGAAAAUAAGCAGGAUAUCCGCUGUCAGCAGAGACCUACACAAGCACCAGCGGAUCAGCUCGGCGGAUGCGAGCUUACCGGUCCAGCUUUCGCAGCGUGGUCGCCAGCGAGCCGGGGGGCAGUCUAGACAAGAGCACGUCGCACGCGGACAGCUACUGGAGUCUCGGCACGCCCAGCACGAGAAACACAGAGCUGAUCUGCGAAA
Priapulus caudatus is the source of this 418-nucleotide long non-coding RNA. RefSeq lists it as uncharacterized. The transcript is spliced from 3 exons. NCBI's taxonomy places the organism in Eukaryota, Metazoa, Priapulida, Priapulimorpha, Priapulimorphida, Priapulidae. The record is from RefSeq and is a predicted model, not a curated record.